AGAGAGAGAGAGAGAGAGGUUGGAAGAGAAUGGGCUGAUGGCCCUCUGCCCUGGCCAUUUCCCUCUCUUCUUUUCCUCUUCCUUGCUGGCCCGUCUAAGCCGGCGACCAUGCCUUCUCCCCCAUACGUCCUUUCAAUCUCCCUCCGGCUCUCUCUGCCGCACGACCCUCCUCCCAAGGUCUCCCCGUUGGCGCACAGUCUCUCUUCCUCCGCCCUCCCUGUUCAUCACUCUCAGCCGCCACAGACCACAGAUCCCUUCUACGAACCUAGCGUUUAUGGCACGUUGAUCUCGCGGUAACGAAACCUGUCAUGAACCAAAAUGAACCAUGCUAAAAUAUUUCAUCAGUACGAUAAUUUUAUGCCUAAGUUUUAAAGAUAGGCACGAUGGAACUCACGACAGUGACGUCAUGAGAGAUACGAUUCAUGAGCAAGUUCACUUGAUGCCUGCGACCCCUACCGUUGAUCCACUACGAGGGCAGGAAAUGAACGAUCAAAGAAGUCCAGAAAUCUAGUUUUAAUAUAUGCAUAAAAUUGAUGCUAUAGACGACUAUUGCCCGUGAGAUUAUUCAUACAGAUGACUCAGUCGAUACUCAUGUUAUAAAAACUCGUAUGCCACAUUAACCUAAGUAAGCGCAGCUGAUGCAACACGAUAGAUGCCGGGAUCGACUAGC
RNAcentral lists this long non-coding RNA (670 nucleotides) under Spirodela polyrhiza (greater duckweed). RNAcentral describes it as "long non-coding RNA (SPOL_LNC002270)". Lineage: Eukaryota; Viridiplantae; Streptophyta; Magnoliopsida; Alismatales; Araceae. The record is from RNAcentral.